GCACUCUCUUUGGCAGCACAUAGAUUAAAAUUGGAACCAUACAGAGAAGAUUAGCAUGGCCCCUGCGAAAGGAU
Small nuclear RNA from Monodelphis domestica (gray short-tailed opossum), 74 nucleotides. Lineage: Eukaryota; Metazoa; Chordata; Mammalia; Didelphimorphia; Didelphidae. The record is from Ensembl.